UAGUGGCGAACGGGUGAGUAACACGUGGGCAAUCUGCCCUGCACUCUGGGACAAGCCCUGGAAACGGGGUCUAAUACCGGAUACGACCACUUCAGGCAUCUGAUGGUGGUGGAAAGCUCCGGCGGUGCAGGAUGAGCCCGCGGCCUAUCAGCUUGUUGGUGAGGUAACGGCUCACCAAGGCGACGACGGGUAGCCGGCCUGAGAGGGCGACCGGCCACACUGGGACUGAGACACGGCCCAGACUCCUACGGGAGGCAGCAGUGGGGAAUAUUGCACAAUGGGCGAAAGCCUGAUGCAGCGACGCCGCGUGAGGGAUGACGGCCUUCGGGUUGUAAACCUCUUUCAGCAGGGAAGAAGCGAAAGUGACGGUACCUGCAGAAGAAGCGCCGGCUAACUACGUGCCAGCAGCCGCGGUAAUACGUAGGGCGCAAGCGUUGUCCGGAAUUAUUGGGCGUAAAGAGCUCGUAGGCGGCCUGUCACGUCGGUUGUGAAAGCCCGGGGCUUAACCCCGGGUCUGCAGUCGAUACGGGCAGGCUAGAGUUCGGUAGGGGAGAUCGGAAUUCCUGGUGUAGCGGUGAAAUGCGCAGAUAUCAGGAGGAACACCGGUGGCGAAGGCGGAUCUCUGGGCCGAUACUGACGCUGAGGAGCGAAAGCGUGGGGAGCGAACAGGAUUAGAUACCCUGGUAGUCCACGCCGUAAAC
RNAcentral lists this ribosomal RNA (701 nucleotides) under Streptomyces fradiae. Its description in RNAcentral is "bacterial SSU rRNA". It matches the Rfam family "Bacterial small subunit ribosomal RNA", at positions 93 to 807 of the family's 1533-position model. The record is from RNAcentral. Lineage: Bacteria; Bacillati; Actinomycetota; Actinomycetes; Kitasatosporales; Streptomycetaceae.